Molecule: non-coding RNA, 1920 nt
Organism: Eublepharis macularius
Lineage: Eukaryota; Metazoa; Chordata; Lepidosauria; Squamata; Eublepharidae
Source: the annotation of a RefSeq genome assembly
GAGGAAUUAAAACCACUGUGACUACUAUGCUUUCGACCACUGGGGCCAAGGAACAAUGGUGACAGUGACCAGUGCUUCCCAAAGUGCCCCUUCUCUUUUCCCCCUCAUUCCAUCGUCGAGCAUCACAGACAGUAACGAGAUCACCAUCGGGUGUAUGGCCAAGGAUUUCCUUCCUGACUCACUCACUCUGUCCUGGCAAAAGCCAAACAAUGACAGCCUUGAGGCAGACAAAAUCAAGCGGUUUCCUUCCAUUAACAACCCUACUGGGACUUUCACUGCAAGCUCAGCGGCAACUGUCCCUACUAGUCAAUGGGAUGCAUUCAAACCCUUCUACUGCAAGGCUGAACAUGCUUCUACAACCAAAGUGGCACGAGUUGUUCGCCAAACACCAAUCGUACCUAUUGAACCUACGAUUAUUAUCCGAGUGCCUCCUCUAGAAGAUUUUCUUGGUCCCUACCUAAACGCCAGCCUUCUCUGCAAGGCUGAUCACCUGUACACUGAGAAAACUACCAUUAGCUGGAUGAAGAACGGGCAAGUGGUUAUCUCCGGCAUCACCACCACUGCACCAAUCAGGCAAAACUCUGGUUUCUCCAUAAUCAGCGAGCUCACUGUCACCAAAAAGGACUGGUAUGCUGACACGGAAUUUUCCUGCCAAGUGCAAAAUGAGAAGUUCAAUGAGAUAAGGAACGUCAGCAAAGUCUCAGUUUGUGAAGGUGGUGGUGAAUGUAAUGUGCGAAUCCGCGUGGAGACCAUCCCACCAUCCUUCAAUGAUAUUUACCUGACCAAGUCAGCCACACUGACCUGCAGAAUCUCCAACAUACCCUUUGGUGAGGAUCUUGCACUGAAUGUCACCUGGACGAGAGCAUCCGACAAAAAAACAUUGGAGACCACAACUGGACAGGCUAAAGAGCAAGAAAACAGAGAGCUGGUAUUUGUGGAUGCUACAGCCACAAUCUGUGCAGAAGAAUGGGAGAAAGGGGAUACCUACACGUGCACAGUUAAACAUCGGUUACUUGCUACUACUGAAGUAAAGUCUUUGAAGAAGCAGAAUGGUGGUAGUCACAGUGCUCCAGCAGUCUAUGUCCUCCCCCCACCCUCAGAGCAACUGGCUUUGCAGGAAACAGCCACUCCCACUUGCCUGAUAAAAAGUUUUUACCCCGGCGACUUCUUUGUGAAAUGGCUGCAGGAUGGUGAGCCCGUGCCAGUUUCGGAAUACUUCACUAGUGGCCCCAUACAAGAAUCCAAGUCCCCCGAGCGGUACUUUGCCUACAGCAUACUGAAUAUCAACGAGCAGGACUGGAAUUCUGGAGCCCGUUUAACUUGCGUGGUGGGACACGAGGCACUUCCCCUCCAGAUGACUCAGAAGACCGUAGACAAGCACACGGAAAUUGAUUUCCAUUUAUCGUCCAAAGCUUACCUUGAUGGGAUUGUAUUCAUUGAUGACGAUGAAGGACUCCUAAACAUCUCGUCAAUCCUUUCCACGUUCAUCAUCCUCUUCCUUGUGAGCCUCUUCUACAGCGCCACCGUGACUGUCAUCAAGGUGAAAUAGCGAUGACAAUGUUUUGCGGACAGUGGAUUAGGUGGACUCCAUACUUUCCCUCUCUUUCAUCAUACUAAUCAGGAACUUACAUCUCUCUUUUCAUUUUUGUGAGAGGACUGACAUGGGGGCAGGGCUUGCAUUAUUCUCUUGGUUUCUAUCAUAAUCUUAAAGUUCAAUAUGUGUUAAACUAGAUUUGUGGCCCACUUGUUUACAUUUUAAAGCCAUCUAACCGACGUGGUGCAAUUUUGCCUUUGUUUUAUCUGUUUCUGUGGUGGUCAUAUUUUAUUCUAGCUUUUGUUGUAUAAAGCCAUGAAGAGUUCAGGUGCAAUAGAGUUCAGGACCGUUGCAGAAUCCAUACCGACUAGAAUGUUUGUCAUUUU